AUUGGCAGUGACAAAAUGGCGCCGACUAUCCAAAUUGCUAUUGCUAUGCAGAGUGUCGCUCUUCUUCCCAUACGUGGCUUCAGUGGAUUCAUAAUGGCCAUGUAUCUGAAAGCAUACGAUCGUGGAUUAACACAGUGGAUCGAUCUUAACACUGGACUACCAUCGCCAGUCGAUCUGACUGUUUUCAACGCAAAUAUGCCUUUAACGAAAAUCUUUGGUAUAUCCAGUGUUAAUGGCUAGGGGAUAUAAGCUUGCUGCUGGGAAUACGAUAAGGAUCGGGCAGACGACUUGCUUAUUGACAAUGUCAAACAAUAAGUUGGGCGCGACGCUUCUGUUGCGUCGUGAAAUACGCAACAGCGUACUGCAGGUUGGGUUUACUUAGCGAAAACGAAGAUGAAGUUGAUGCUUUGAGGAACAUAGAAACGAAGCUUUACGCUCGCACUGAGAAAUAGGAGACGAGAUGGCAUCUAUAGAAUUUUCUUUGGAUUUUCGCGAUUCCAUCGAAAAAGUUUUUCAAGGGUUGCUGCGCGUUUGGCUGCUGUGGGUUUAAAAAAAAAGUAUUUUACUACCCCUCCUCUACGGCCCCUUGGGUCUCAGGAAUUUUCGAAGCACCGGCAAAGCUCGCUGCAAGCUCAGCAAAUUGAUGUGAAUAUUCCAGGAGCUUUUACGUCGAGGGAUCAGGAAAUUCUGUAUUAGCUUUCGUCCAACCCCUUCAGGGUAUUGUAGUACAAUCUUCUCGUAAGGAGAGGCUUGAAAAUUGUGUUAAAUUGUGCAAUUGGCGCAAUCUCGGGUCAAGCAGUUUAGAUCGAUAAGGGAAGAUAAGGCAGAGUCAGAUGCACUGUAUGAGAAAACGACGUUACAAGCUUUCAAGGGAUACGGGAGUAUUAGUUUUCUUGGCCAUUUCUGGAAAUGGCAAGGUUGGGUUAAGGAAUAGGAAAGCCUGUAAUCUUCUUAGUAUGGACACGAACCUUAUUUGGGUCUGUUGCGUAAGGGUAGCAAGGAGUGUAAUUGUCGGAUUACUAACAUGCUCAAAUAUUCAAUUUGACUUUCAUUACUUCUUUUUUUUCUGUCAUUCCUACCUAUAUUAUUAUUUAUUGGGUCUUUUUCUCUUUAUGAAUCUUUUUCUUUUCCUAAUCCUAUCUCAGAGCUUCUAACCAGCUACCAGCUGUUUUACUUUUUGUGGAUGUUUUCCUCUGUCGAGUCACAGGCGUAGCUAUCUUUCGAAUUCCAACUUUGAAACUCGUCGUGCGAAUGUAAUGUGACUCACUUUUCGUCUCUUGGCUGUCCAAGCCAUUUCUCAGACGGCGGAUCUAACCGUAAGACACUCGUGCAAAACCAAUCGCUUUUUAGUUCCACAUUUUCUGUGUUUUUAUACACUGACCGAUCGAUAGACUCUCUUAUUUCUUUCUAUACGGCGAAGUCUCAGUCGAUUUUACGAGAAAGGCAAUUGUGAGAAAUAAGAAGGGAGACUCGAGACUUUCAUAACUGAGUCGUUUGCUUCGUUUUAAAAAAAAAAAAAAAUUCUGCGAACACUCGUUCCUAUAUCAAACACGGGUGUGUCUUUAGGAAUUUAAAAUAGCGCUUUUAAUUAGUUCUGGUCCUGUUAGCACUUUUCCCUCGGUGGUAUCGGUAAUGAUGUUGGUACGUUUGUAAUUAAGAAUCUUAUUAAUUAAUAAUGUUUUAUUUUAACUUUUCAUGCUGUCUCACGAAUAUACCUUUAAUCUACUUUUCUCGUGCCGUAAGGGCAAACUAUAAUCGUGCGAAUUAAAUAGCCUUUUUUUUGCUUCCUUUACACUCCAUUGUAUCAUUACAAAAUGCUUUGGUACGCAUAUGCUGAUAUUUUCUCCCGUUCACGACGAAACCCUGUAAAGGAUUCAACCAGCAAAUUCUUAGUCACUCCAUUCGGCAUCCAUAUUCUAUGCGAGGACAGGAAGACAAAUCCCUGACUACGUACCGGGAUCAUGUUCUCCCUUGGAAUUACUUACAGGAGCUCUUCUGUCGCAGUCUACCGAAGAAUGCUAUUUCAUCCCCUACUGAAUUCCCUUCUCGGGGGACGUUACCUUUGAUGUUUUGAAGACUCCUGGGACAUGCAUUCAAGAGACAGUUUCGAUGAUAUUUGAAGAACCGUUUGGGAUAAAUAUUUAUGGAUGUUAAAUGCCUCUUACAAUAAUAGGGUUGUUAUCUAAGACUGUUAUUGAUUAUUGGUCGAAGCUGAUUUUGAUAUGAACUAUACGUCAUAGCCAUGGCGGUAUCCUGACUUGGCCACAAAUCCUCACGGUUCGUGUCAGUGGGUGCAGUAUGUCACUUUAAGGGGGUGGUUUGCGGCUAUCGGACCCUAUCCUUCUUGUAAUGCUUAAGCGUUACUUAUGGUAUCUUGAAUUAGGUUGCCAUUACCAUCCUUAUUAAUCCCUUGAGGCGACACCGGUACGUGCCUUUAUUUCAUGUAUGUUCUCAGAGGCAGAAUCCAGGAUCAAUGUAGAAGCUGGAAGACCAAGCUUUGUCGAAAGGAAAAGCAGGAGGAUUUUUCUUCGUAAGCCAUCCCAUUCAUGUUUUUCAUCAUUUUAUCCCUUUCAACUGAUACAUAUAUACGUCACAUCAAACAACCCUUAAUCCCUUUAGUCCUCUACUUACUAACAGGGAUUGAAGAUCUAAUCAAGAUGCAACAACUAAUUUAUAAAUUGAUGAAAACAGUUUUUAUCCAACAUCCAUUGUGGAGGGAUAGUUGUUGAUAUCCAUGUCGAAGAUCUCUUUCAUGGACAUGUAAAAUGGCAACGUUCACCAUGUCACAGUGAUCUCCUGUUUCAAACCCCUGUAAUAUAUGGGGAUGAAGUGGUUCUUGAUACCCAUGAGAAUCUUUGCCAUCAACUGACACGGUGGUUAAACUAGCUUUCAGGAUGUCAGAAACACUAGAAGGUGUUUAUGGGACCAUAGGUUUUAUACUCCAGAAGGUGCUAUCCAGCUGCAUCGUAACCCAUAAGAUAUAUAUUCUUAUUAGGGUGAAAAUACAUAGGUCGUACCCUCCUUUUUUUUUAUAUUUAACCUCUCCAUCCUUUCCACACCGUACGAAACCCCUGAGUAUCUUCAUCUUCACUCAAGAAUUAUGCCAAGUAAUAAAAGUCAGAAAAAAAUAGACUCGAGCACAGUAAUCUUAAUGUCAAGUAAAUUUAAAAAAUGCACUAGACAAAAUUAAGAACGCAACUACUUCUUAUACUUAAUAAAUUCGACCAUUCACAUUAGCCAUUUCAUAUCUGACAUUAAUUUACCGAUUAGCACAAACCCCUGAAAUACUUCAUCCUGUAUCCAAAACUCAUCCUCGAUACAGAAUCAUGAAAUUAGUCAAUUAUAAAUUUUUUUUUAAUUAUCCUAAUUAACUAAUAUCUCCCCAAAAAUACAAUCCACCGUUUCACAAUCGUUAUUCACAUUGUCACUUGGCGCGUUUAACAAUACAAAACACUUGUUAUUGUCCCUCUAGUAAAUGUUAUCUCGUUCAAUUAUUUAUUAGCAAUUUAUCCAAUUAUCUAUUAUCUCAAGCCAAGAUACCAUCUUGAGAUUUUACACUGUUCAAGUAAUAAUUAUAUUAUCUUCACUUUUUAAUAUCUCCCCCCCCCCUAUAUUAUCAGUUUCCUUUCAUAAUUUUACUUUCCUAUUGAUACUAUUAUAUAGCUUCCACUGUGCGCGGCUCCAGUAACAAAGUGCAUUACGGUAUAAAAACUUAAUAACUCUGUCAGAUGCAGUUCUUUCCAAGAACCCAUGAAGAAUAAUGAUUUAGUUGGAGCGAGACCAGUGACGAAUCUCAAAGUAUAAAAUUUGUAAGAGUUUCUAGAAAAUUUAAUAAGAAAUAUAUUUAUACUAUAUGUAUACACACAAACACUGUAUAUAGUAAUAGGACUAUAUGCAUAUGUGUCAUCUCGAUAUCUAUCAAUUAAAUCUGGUUCGGACAUAUCUCCCCUGUAUUUCGCGUAUCGCAAAAUGAUUGAGCCUGUUAUUAAAUAACUGAAACGUCCAUCAUUCGAUAAAAUGUGUCGUCGCAAUGCGCACUGCUUGUAUUACCUUUAUCAUUUCGUGUGUCAGGCGUCAGGUCGAUUAUUUAAUAACGAGAGUACACGUUUAACUUGUUAAAUGCAGUUGAGCGAUUUAAUUGGAUCGCAGGUAGAAAUAGUGACUGUGCUAAUCGUUGCGUCAUAUGUGUAUGUACAAUGUUAUAUUCGUGACAAAAGCACCGCCUGAAGGUGGUUCCGUUAUGGAAGUCAAAUGAAUCGGCUAACUUCGGGUGAUGCGUUUCUCGUGAAUAUUCUUGUAUACGUAUAUACUUAUGUAAUAUAUAUUAAUUGUAAAUUAUUGUUACUACAUAUCUGACUAAGCAAAGAUAUUCCAUCCUUGACAGUCGCGACCGUGAAGGCCUUGAAGUGGAUACUUAAGAAGUAAUUAAAAGAAAUUUUUGUAGAACGAACUGAAAUUUGAUAUUAAUUUAAAGAAUAUAU
Molecule: long non-coding RNA, 4481 nt
Organism: Cephus cinctus (wheat stem sawfly)
Lineage: Eukaryota; Metazoa; Arthropoda; Insecta; Hymenoptera; Cephidae
Exons: 10
Source: RefSeq, a predicted model, not a curated record